UAGUUGACAGGAAGCAGCAGGCAAGUCAGGCCGCCCCUUACCACGUUUAGGGGCUGAAAAUACUGACAGCCACGACCGUGAAGAAGUGCCAAAGUGAACGGUUUGUCUUGCAACAGCAUCGUUUUCAGUGGCGCCAAUUUAAUUCGGUAUGGAGUCGGCGUUCCAACACCCUGACGGAGAACACUGGAGUUGCCAUGUAACUCAGACGCCGCACAAGCAAUGCUCCAAGAUGAAAAGCCGCUUGUCGCUUAACAGCCCGUGGGAUCCCUCUGCAUCCAUCUCAACAUGAGCUCCAAAUCGUCAUGUGAUGCCAUAGGUUCUCCAGUGGACUGUUUCACCUAUUGCACGCACAAGACGGCAUUUUCUGGAGCUUCAACCUUUUGCGUCCCUCAGCAGUCUGUCGGCCCCCGGGGAAGGACUCAUGUAUCGUGUUGGCACACCAUCAACAACAUGGCCUCGGCGUUCUUCACAGAUGAAAAGCCGCUUGUCGCUUAACAGCCCGUGGGAUCCCUCUGCAUCCAUCUCAACAUGAGCUCCAAAUCGUCAUGUGAUGCCAUAGGUUCUCCAGUGGACUGUUUCACCUAUUGCACGCACAAGACGGCAUUUUCUGGAGCUUCAACCUUUUGCGUCCCUCAGCAGUCUGUCGGCCCCCGGGGAAGGACUCAUGUAAUCGUGUUGGCACACCAUCAACAACAUGGCGUCGGCGUUCUUCACAGGUAGGAAGACCUGUUCAAGUAAAUGACAUGAUACAUACACACAUGUAGCACAAUAACACAGGAUAAUUGAAUAGAUGACAAAAGAUAUGCAAUUCAUACACGAGUGCCAUGACUAAUGCUUUGGCUGUAAAGGUUGCUCUGGCUGUUACAGCACAAUGUUAGCCGGCCACAUGGAGGUCAUUAUAAUUGCCUACAUUUCUUCCCAGCUCUGACAACUACUCUCUUCUUAAUCACCACUUGUACUCUUUGUUAAAGCUUAAGGCUAAACCAACUGUAACACUUGUCUAUACGAGUGGAGCAUCUGUUGACAACCAUUGAAGUAUUUUGCAAUAAUCUAGUCAUGUUAGUACUUACAAAUAAUGUCACACUUUGUAUAAGGAAUGUUUUUGCAGUAUUUACGGGUUACAAUCGGUCCACUUGUUGUGUACUUUUUUGGACCUUUAAAAGCAUUUGUUUCUAUCUUUUUUUUUCUCUAAAAUUGUAUUUUUAGUAUUUUACACAUAAGUGCCCACUAUAUGGCGGAAUUUCCAAAGAAUAUUAGCAGUACCUAAAAAAAAUAAACACCAAAAAUUUCCCAAGUACAGUUGCAGUAAUUUUAAGUGACCACUAGAUGGCGGAAAUUCAGUUUCAGUUGCAGUAAUUUAAAGUGGCCACCAGAUGGCGGAAUUUCACAUUUUAAGUUGCAGUACUUUUAAGGGACCACCAGAUAGCGGAAAUUCCCAAGUAUAGUUGCAGUAAUUUUAAGUAACCACUAGAUGGCGGAAUUUCACAUUUUAAGUUGCACUGCUUUUAGGUGACCACUAGAUGGCGGAAUUUCACAUUUUAAGUUGCACUGCUUUUAGGUGACCACUAGAUGGCGGAAAAUCCCAAGGUAAGUUGCAGUAAUUUUAAGUGCCCACUAGAUGGUGGCAUAGGGUUAGGGCUAGGGCUAGGUUUAGGGUUAGGUU
Doryrhamphus excisus (bluestripe pipefish) is the source of this 1663-nucleotide non-coding RNA. NCBI's taxonomy places the organism in Eukaryota, Metazoa, Chordata, Actinopteri, Syngnathiformes, Syngnathidae. The record is from RefSeq and is a predicted model, not a curated record.